Molecule: ribosomal RNA, 117 nt
Filed under: Bacillus amyloliquefaciens
Lineage: Bacteria; Bacillati; Bacillota; Bacilli; Caryophanales; Bacillaceae
Source: RNAcentral
UUUGGUGGCGAUAGCGAAGAGGUCACACCCGUUCCCAUGCCGAACACGGAAGUUAAGCUCUUCAGCGCCGAUGGUAGUCGGGGGUUUUCCCCCUGUGAGAGUAGGACGCCGCCAAGC